GGUAGGAUGGCCGAAUAGGUGGCGGAUUGUAGCUCCGUUCACAGAGGUUUAAAUCCUCUUUCUAUCA
This 67-nucleotide transfer RNA is filed under the name Triplophysa sp. ZP-2016. RNAcentral's name for it is "tRNA-Tyr". It matches the Rfam family "tRNA". Rfam says of the family: Transfer RNA (tRNA) molecules are approximately 80 nucleotides in length. Lineage: Eukaryota; Metazoa; Chordata; Actinopteri; Cypriniformes; Nemacheilidae. The record is from RNAcentral.